This 457-nucleotide ribosomal RNA is filed under the name uncultured bacterium. RNAcentral's name for it is "partial 16S ribosomal RNA". It matches the Rfam family "Bacterial small subunit ribosomal RNA", at positions 338 to 795 of the family's 1533-position model. The record is from RNAcentral.
CCUACGGGAGGCUGCAGUGGGGAAUAUUGCACAAUGGGGGAAACCCUGAUGCAGCGACGCCGCGUGAGUGAAGAAGUAAUUCGUUACGUAAAGCUCUAUCAGCAGGGAAGAAAUACUGACCUUACGGUCAGCAGACGGUACCUGAGUAAGAAGCCCCGGCUAACUACGUGCCAGCAGCCGCGGUAAUACGUAGGGGGCAAGCGUUAUCCGGAUUUACUGGGUGUAAAGGGUGCGUAGGCGGAUCGUUAAGUCAGUGGUAAAAUUGAGGGGCUAAACCCCUUCCCGCCAUUGAAACUGGCGUUCUUGAGUGGAAGAGAAGUAUGCGGAAUGCGUGGUGUAGCGGUGAAAUGCAUAGAUAUCACGCAGAACCCCGAUUGCGAAGGCAGCAUGCCGGCUUCCGACUGACGCUGAAGCACGAAAGCGUGGGGAUCGAACAGGAUUAGAUACCCUUGUAGUC